GCCGGGCAUGGUGGCACAUGCCUGUAAUCCCAGCUACUCAGGAGGCUGGGGCAGGAGAAUUGCUUGAACCCAGGAGGUGGAGGUUGCAGUGAGCCGAGAUUGCGCCACUGCACUCCAGCCUGGGUGACAGAGCGAGACUCUGUCUCAA
Unclassified non-coding RNA from Pongo abelii (Sumatran orangutan), 148 nucleotides. It matches the Rfam family "Metazoan signal recognition particle RNA". Rfam says of the family: The signal recognition particle (SRP) is a universally conserved ribonucleoprotein. NCBI's taxonomy places the organism in Eukaryota, Metazoa, Chordata, Mammalia, Primates, Hominidae. The record is from Ensembl.